This 276-nucleotide ribosomal RNA is filed under the name uncultured Coprococcus sp. Its description in RNAcentral is "partial 16S ribosomal RNA". It matches the Rfam family "Bacterial small subunit ribosomal RNA", at positions 67 to 339 of the family's 1533-position model. The record is from RNAcentral. Lineage: Bacteria; Bacillati; Bacillota; Clostridia; Lachnospirales; Lachnospiraceae.
CGGAGGGAGAGGUGCUUGCACCUCAAACUUAGCGGCGGACGGGUGAGGAACGCGUGGGUAACCUGCCCUAUACAGGGGGAUAGCAGUUGGAAACGAUUGGUAAAACCGCAUAAGCGCACGGUAUCGCAUGAUACAGUGUGAAAACACUCCGGUGGUAUGAGAUGGACUCGCGUCUGAUUAGCUAGUUGGUGAGGUAACGGCCCACCAAGGCGACGAUCAGUAGCCGACCUGAGAGGGUGACCGGCCACAUUGGGACUGAGACACGGCCCAAACUCC